Molecule: long non-coding RNA, 7393 nt
Filed under: Homo sapiens (human)
Lineage: Eukaryota; Metazoa; Chordata; Mammalia; Primates; Hominidae
Description: non-protein coding lnc-PABPC4L-20:1
Source: RNAcentral
CUUUUCAUUUCCGCCACUACUGUGCUGUGUACGCUCUUAUGCUCUCAGUUCUGGUCUUCUGGAAUAUGUUAUUAAGAGAUAAAAAAUCUGUUAGAAUAACAUAGAAGACAAUGGAAGGGAAGAGGAGGAGAGGAGAGGAGACCAUCUCAUAAAGAUUGUAGAAGACCUUCAGUCCUGCAUCCACAAAGUCAAAAUUACAUAAAUCGAUAGUUCCAGGAUGUGCGUACAGUUUCAUCAAAUCAAUACUUUUCAGUGACGACAUGCAUUCUCUAAAGUGCAUUUCAUUAAGGAAGAAGAAAGGAAAGAGCAAAAGAGAGAACAAUUGAUGAAACCCUAAGUAUUUCAUUUUCUGAAUGAAGAGAAACAGAGAGAGAGAAAUGAAAGAAGAUCACACAUGAAGACAGAUAUCUACAUCACCUUAGUUCAACGCACUUCUGCAAGAAUUAAGAAUUGAACUGUACUAGGCUAGGUGCAGUGGUUCAAGCCUGUAAUCCCAGCACUUUGGGAGGCCGAGGCAGGUGGAUCCUGAGGUCAAGAGAUCGAGACCAUCCUGGCCAACAUUGUGAAACCCCGGCUCUACUAAAAAUACAAAAAUUAGCUGGACGUGGUGGUGUAUGCCUGUAAUCCUAGCUACUCGGGAGGCUGAGGCAGGAGAACCACUUGAACCAGGGAGUCAGAGGUUGCAAUGAGCUGAGAUCACGCCACUGCACUCCAGAGACAGACUCCGUCUCAAGAAAAAAAAAAAAAAAAGAAUUGAACUGUACUAAAACAUUGUGUAUGAAUAACACAAACCAAAAUAACCUAACAUGACUAGCAAAAUCAUCACCAUGGAUAAGUGAAUAUAAUUUAAUUUAUAUUACUUAAGCAAAUCUCAGCUAUAAGAAUGAAGUGCAAAUCAAAACCACAAUGAGAUACCAUCUCAUGCCAGUUAGAAUAGUGAUGAUUAAAAAGUCAGGGAACAACAGAUGCUGGAGAGGAUGUGGAGAAAUAGGAACGCUUUUACACUGUUGAUGGGAGUGUAAAUUAGUUCAGCCAUUGUGGAAGACAGUGUGGUGAUUCCUCAAGGAUCUAGAACUAGAAAUACCAUUUGACCCAGCGAUCGCAUUCCUGGGUAUAUACCCAAAGGAUUAUAAAUCAUGCUACUAUAAAGACACAUGCACAUGUAUGCUUAUUGUGGCACUAUUCACAAUAGCAAAGACUUGGAACCAACCCAAAUGGCCAUCAAUGAUAGACUGGAUUAAGAAAAUGCGGCACGUAUAUACCAUGGAAUACUAUGCAGCCAUAAAAAAGGAUGAGCUCAUGUCCUUUGCAGGGACAUGGACGCAGCUGGAAACCAUCAUUUUAAGCAAACCAUUACAAGAACAGAAAACCAAACACCGCAUGUUCUCACUCAUAGCUGGGAGUUGAACAAUGAGAACACAUGGACACAUGGCGGGGAACAUCACAUACUGGGGCCUGUCAGGGGGUAGGGGGCUAAGUGAGUGAUAGCAUUAGGAGAAAUACCUAAUGUAAAAGACGAGUUGAUGAAUGCAGCAAACCAACAUGGUACAUGUAUACCUAUGUAACAAACCUGCACGUUGUGCACAUGUACCCUAGAACUUAAAGUAUAACAAAAUUUUUUUUAAAAAGAAUGAUACGAGUGCUCUUUUAAAAAGUAGGUUAAAAACUCAUAUUAAAUUAAAAUACUAUAGCUGAAAAUAGACCUAUAUUAUGGUAGAAAAGAAAAUUUUUAAUAUUGUUCACCCCAAUAAUAUAGUACAAAUCCAGCUAAUACACAGUUAGGGAAAGCUUAGCACAGACAAAUUAAAAAGUAUUAAACAAGAGCAAAUACCUCUCCAUGCUUUCAGAAAUUAUUUAUUUUGAAUCUGGUAAUGUAUUAGUUCAUUCUCACACUUCUAUAAAGAUACUACCUGAGAAUGGGUAAUUUAUAAACAAAAAAGGUUUAAUUGACUCACAGUUCUGCAUGGCUUGAGAGGCCUUAGGAAACUUCCAACCAUGGUGGAAUGCAAAGGGGAAGCAAGGCACAUCUUACAUGGCAUCAGGAGAUAAAGAGAAGGGGGAAGCACCAGACACUUAUCAAACAACCAGAUCUCGUGAGAACUCACUCACUAACAACAUGGGGAUACUGCCCUCAUGAUCCAAUCAUGUGCACCAGGCCCCUGUCUGGACGUGCGGGGAUUACAAUUCAGAUUACAAUUUCAGAUGAGAUGUGGGUGAGGAACAGUCAAACCAUAUCAAGUAAGUACCAAUUAUUACUGUUCAUAUGCUGGGAAAUAAAAUUAACUAUUACACAACGAUACUCUGUGUCAAGAGCUGAGAUGAGCUGGAGAGAGUUGAGCUGCCAAGUGUUAGAGUAGCUGAUUAAAGCACCAAGCCAGCAUGGAAGGGACAGUGAAGCCUUAAUCACUGCCAUACUAUGGGCAAGAGGCUACACAGAAAAAGUUCCUCCAUCACCAUUCCAUUUCUCUACAUGGACUGGAGAUGAGGAUCAGAAGGAUCUGCGCAGACCUAAAGAAUGUCUCACUAAUAAAGGAGCCCAGAAAAACAUUCUCCUCCUGCCAUUUGAUAGGCCUUGACGGGGCAGAGGAAGGGGAGGUGAGCUACAAGGAGAAACAUACUGAGACUGAGUGGAGAAAAAUGUCGCCACCUCCCUACUCUUCCAGUAAGGGGGUCUCAGGGAAGGAACCUGAGCAAGACCUUGGUCUAAGCCCUCUGUAAAGAAGCCUCUGAAUGGAGGCAGCUGGAGAGGCAGCUGGGCUAGGAAUACAGAUACACAUAAAAGUAUGACAUAGGAGUACAGGAGUGCCUGCAUCCUUGACUGCAACUUUCUUCAGAGACUGCACUAAAUGGCUGUGUACCAUGUCUGGUGGGCAGGUAGCAGCUUUCCCUAGAGAAGGCCUGCCAUGUAAAGCUUUUGCAACUGCCUAUAGAGGGGCUUGAAAACACAUGCACACACACAUACACACAUGCACACACACAUCCACGCACAUACACACACAGUUUUUGGUCUGGAGCUAGACUACUUACCAUCCACAAACAACUAAAUAAUAAUUUUUAAAAGAAAAAAAUUAAUUAUUUAUACUUAUUUCUCUUAACUUUUAAACAAUAUUUGAUAAAUAAUACUUUAUCAAAAUAAAUUGGCACAGAUAAAUCUAUGGUUGAGAUGAAAUUAAAGCAAAAUAACUGUAGGCUUCUAUAACCUUUAAAUAUUUGGUAAAUAUUUAUAAUUUCAGCUUAAUAGAAUGAAUGGAAAAAAUUACAUAUGAAUAUCAAUGUAAUGAUGAAGCCAAAACACUGACUGCCUUUUAAAAUUAUUCAACCAAAAAAAAAACUCUCUGAAUGAAAUUUCAGAGCCAAAAAUAAAAUAAGGUGGCAAUAUACACUAAAUUCUACUUGACAUACAAUAGUUUCAGAUCAUUGCUACUUGAGUCAUUUAAUAAAUUUUAAAAAAAAAGUGCCUGCUGCUUUGAUAAUUAAGAGAUUAUCAUAAAAAACUAGUAUGCCUCAAUCGGGAAGAUGUUGGGAAAUAGCAUGUGAUGCUUGUAGAAAAAUGAAAAGACCAUAUUGGACAGUAAAAAAAUUUACAUUUGGGGAUUACAUUGGUUUUAAGGGGAAGGGCAUUAAAUAACAGAAUGAAAAAUUUGGAUUUUAUCUAAAAGACAAGUAGAAAACCUGAUAUUUUGUUUAAAGAAACAAAAUAAUAAAGUGGAUAUGAAUAUAUAUAGAAAAAAGAUUCAAUAUACAAUAUAUAUUUAUAUAUUAUUUAAUAACAUAUUUUUCAAUAUGUUAUUGAAAUAAAAUUCACAUACCAUAAAAUUCACUUUUAAAAUGUACAAUUUAGUGAUUUUUAAUGUAAUCAUAGAGUUCUGCGACUAUCACAAGAAAACAGAAACAAAAUUACAGUCAUAAAGUUGCAUGCUAAUAAGUAUAUUCCAUUCAGCAGCGUUAUGUAGUUGUACCAAAUAAUAUCAAAAUGAAAGAGUAAAAUAAUGAGUUGUUGAACUGGGGCACUUGGUUAGAUAUCUAGAAAUGAUUAUGAUCAAUUAGUAACAUAUUAGUUAAUCAUCGAAAAGGUAAGAAACUGUUUGAAAUCCUCCCAUGUGUAAUUUGGAAAAAAUAAUAUCUUGGGAUAUUCAAUGCAAUUUUUAAAACCUAGUUUUACUUUUAAUAGAUAAAAUGUGAUCAUGGCAAAUUUUUAUAUUUGUUUUGAAAAAAUCUAGGUUAUUUUAUAAUCUAAGGAAGCUGCAGGGAGAAUAAGAUUUGUGGCAAUUUGCACACAAAAGUGGACUGCCAAGUAUGCUUAACAUUAAUUGCAAUUGCUACCUAAUUUUGUAACAGAAGCAAGUAAAUGAGAAGACCUAUUUUAGUAGUUAAUUUUCUGAACAUUAUGACUUGCACAAAGUAACAACUCAGAAAAUAUUUAUAAAUGGAGCUUAAUACAGUGAAUUGAUGUGAAACUACAUAUCAAUGUCAAUACAUUGAUAGAGUCAAAAAAUGUGACCGCCUUUUCAAAAUGAAAAACAUAUUUUCUCUCUGAAUGAAAUUUCUUAGCCAGGAAUAACAUGUGACAAUUAACAUACACUAAAUUCCAGUUAGUGUUCAAUAGUUUCAUAUCAUUGCUCUUUGAUUAAUUAAAUGAAUAAAAAUGAAAAUAGAAAUAUGUUCUGCUUUGAUCAUUCUCUGCAUAAUAUUUAGCUCAUUUUCUUAAGUCCUCAAUUUACUUUGAGCACUAAAAAAUAAUUUGUGUUUUCCCUUGCUUUGAAAAGUAUGCUAUUACAAUUUAGUCUUGUUAAAUAUGUGUUUACAAGUGUUGCUAUUCAUGUCAAAUUUACUUGUUUCCUUAGCACUUCUCCAUUUAAGUAAAAAACAAACAGCUUCUUUUAUCCAUUUAUUUAAAUUUUUAUCUAUGUAUUGCCAAAACAUGAAAACUUAACACUUUUGAAUUGAUGCAGGCUGCUUCUAAGUGAAAAAUAUGCACAUCAAGGGCAAUGCAAUUUAUUCUUACUUUAGAGACUCUAAGUGGAGGAGAGGUAGAAUAUACUGCUGUUUUGCUCAGAUCUGAAUAAGCAAUCUGACCAUAUAACAACCAGCAUCCAUCACUGUUAUACACAGUGAUCUGCGCGAGCUCUUGUUUAGGAUGUACACUUUGGCCAUCUUUAAAAUAGGGAUUUCUUGUUAAAGAGGUGUUAAAAAAAAGUUUCCAUUUAAAAAUCUGUCCUUACUUUAGGGAGAAUCAUGGAUUGGGAAAAAUACAAAUUUCAGAAUACUUCUGGGAAAGGUUUAAUUUGUUAGUUCUUCACUGGUUUAUAAUUGCUAUAUGUGAAGAUAAUUAGAGAAUAAAAGCUAACUCCAUGCUAAAAAAAAUAAUCUAUCCUUACUUUAGGAACACCUCAGAAUUAUGCACAUUUGACUUUUUUCUAUUGCUGAUUUGAUUUCCAGCUAAAGCAUUGCUAAAGGGAGUAGGACAGAGACACCAGGAAGCAAACCUCUUGUCCUACAACAUUAGGGCAUUUUUGUUUUUACAUGUUAAGGGGCUUGACCUGUAAGUUUCUGUGAAGAAUUUGGGAUACGGAGUAGAAAAAUACCUUCCCUAAUAGGUAAAAUAUGGUAUAAAGCAUACUUAAAUUAUGCAUAUAAUUAUGCCAUUAUUUUCUCUAAUGUAUAAUAAAAAAGAUAAUUAAAUGUCACGAGUUAGGAACGAGGAUAACAGUAAUGAUAACAUAAUGUGAUUAGACUAGAUUAUCUCCAGGUUUUUAUUUACUUAUUUUUAAAAUUUGUUACCUCUUUGAUGUGAUUGCUUUCAACCAUUACUAGGCAAUCCUAUAGUCAAUACAGGAUUAUUCAGUUACUAUAUAUAUACUCUUAAAGUUAAUUUAGAGUUAAUAAUAAACCAGAAUUACAUGUUUUAUAUGCACUAAAAUCUCUCCAGAAUUCCCAACUUAAAAAUUCUUUAAUCAGCUUAGUUGACUUCAAUGUUUUUUUAAAAGGCAAAAGGCCAAGAGAGUUUUAUGAAACUGUUAUGUAUCCAUCUACAAAUAUUUCAGAAGUGCACUGCUCUUACAUAUAAAAAAGUCAUUUUGAUUGCACUUUGGAAUCCAGGGGUUAAAAUGUACAGCUUGUAUGACUUCAGUUAAAUAGGCUGUCAACUGUCCAGGCAACUGCAGUACAAAGCUAGGCAUGCCUUUAAUCUUCAAAGAAAAAAAAGUAAGGAGAAUAAAUUCAGUUAUUAGCUUGAAGGUAAAAACAAAUGAAAGGAUAAGGUGAAAGCAAGCAGUAUUAGAGUUCAUAGAUUUCUUAUUAGAAAUUCGAAAUUACAUUAUCAGUGUAUGGUAAUUAUAUAUAUACAUAUGCAUAUAUAUAUACAUAUGCAUAUAUAUAUAUGCACACACACACACACCAUACACAUGCACUCACAUACAAGUACACUCAUGGGUAACUUAAUGACAGAGAUAAUUUCGGAGGAAUGAAUCCUUGGAUGACGUCCUUGCUUAUGCAGACAUCAUGGAGUGCACUUAUACAAACCUAGAUGAUAUAGCCUACUACACAACUAGGCUGUGUGGUAUGGCCUGUUGCUCCCAGCUACAAACCUGUAUGGCAUGGGAUUUGUGAAUCUAAACAUAUCUAAGCAUAGAAGAGGUACAGUAAAAAUACAAUAUAAAAGAUAAAAAAUGGUACAUGUGUAUAGGGCACUUAUAAUGGAUGAGAACUGUAGUAUUAGAAGUUGUCUGGGUGAGUCAGUGAGUGAGUGGUGAGUGCAUGUGAAGACCUAGGACAUUACUUUCCACUACUGUAGAAUUUAUAAACCCUGACCAGAGGCUACACUAAAUUUAUUCAAAAAACAUUUUCUUUGUUUAAUAAUAAAUUAAACUUAGCUUCUGUAACUUCUUUAUAAAGUAUUUAAUUUUUUUUGCCUUUUUUACAACAACGCUUAGCUUAAAACGCAAAUAUGUUGUACAGCUAUACAAUUAUUUUUCCUGUAUUUCCUUAUUUUAUAAACAUUUUCCUAUUUUUUGAUUUUUUUUUUGUUUACUUCUUAAACUUUCCUGUUAAAAAUUAACACACAUUCACAUUAGUCUAGGCCCACAUAGGGCCAGGGUUAUCAAUGUCACUGUCUUCCCUCUCCUCAUCUUCUCUCAGUGGAAGUUCUUCAGGGGCAGCAACAUACAUGGAGCUAUCGUUUUCUAUGACAACAAUGCCUUCUUCUGAAAGACCUCCUGAAAAACUUGUCUGAGGCUAUUCUAUAGUUAAUUUUUUUAAAUAAAUAGGAGUAUACUCUAAAAUAACAAUAAAAAUCAUAGUAUAGUAAGUCCAUAAGCCAGUAACAUAGCCAUUUAUUUUCAUUAUCAAGUAUUAUGUACUGUGCCUUAUUGUAUGUGUUAUACUUUUAUAUGAC